This 390-nucleotide ribosomal RNA is filed under the name uncultured archaeon. RNAcentral's name for it is "bacterial SSU rRNA". It matches the Rfam family "Archaeal small subunit ribosomal RNA", at positions 355 to 747 of the family's 1478-position model. The record is from RNAcentral.
AUAGGCGAAAGCCUGACAGGGUUACUCUGAGUGGUUCCCGCUAAGGGGAUCUUUUGGCACCUCUAAAAAUGGUGCAGAAUAAGGGGUGGGCAAGCCUGGUGUCAGCCGCCGCGGUAAUACCAGCACCCCGAGUGGUCGGGACGAUUAUUGGGCCUAAAGCAUCCGUAGCCGGUCAUGCAAGUCUUCCGUUAAAUCCAGCCGCUCAACGGUUGGGCUGCGGAGGAUACUACGUGGCUAGGAGGCGGGAGAGGCAAGCGGUACUCAGUGGGUAGGGGUAAAAUCCUUUGAUCCAUUGAAGACCACCAGUGGCGAAGGCGGCUUGCCAGAACGCGCUCGACGGUGAGGGAUGAAAGCUGGGGGAGCAAACCGGAUUAGAUACCCCCGUAGUCC